Molecule: ribosomal RNA, 381 nt
Filed under: uncultured bacterium
Lineage: Bacteria
Description: bacterial SSU rRNA
Rfam family: Bacterial small subunit ribosomal RNA
Source: RNAcentral
GCGGCAGACGGGUGAGUAACACGUGGGAACGUGCCCUUUGGUUCGGAACAACUCCGGGAAACUGGAGCUAAUACCGGAUAAGCCCUUCGGGGGAAAGAUUUAUCGCCAAAGGAUCGGCCCGCGUCUGAUUAGCUAGUUGGUGGGGUAAUGGCCCACCAAGGCGACGAUCAGUAGCUGGUCUGAGAGGAUGAUCAGCCACACUGGGACUGAGACACGGCCCAGACUCCUACGGGAGGCAGCAGUGGGGAAUAUUGGACAAUGGGCGAAAGCCUGAUCCAGCCAUGCCGCGUGAGUGAUGAAGGCCUUAGGGUUGUAAAGCUCUUUCGGCGGGGACGAUAAUGACGGUACCCGCAGAAGAAGCCCCGGCUAACUUCGUGCCAG